RNAcentral lists this unclassified non-coding RNA (1063 nucleotides) under Hevea brasiliensis (rubber tree). Lineage: Eukaryota; Viridiplantae; Streptophyta; Magnoliopsida; Malpighiales; Euphorbiaceae. The record is from RNAcentral.
UGUUGGAGGAAAUGCAAAUCUAUGUCCAUCCCUUUCAUGCAAGAAGAAAAAGAAGUAUGUAAACCCAAAGCCCUUGUCAGAGAAGGUUGAUAUAAUUUUGAUUUUGCAAGUUGUUAUGUUGAAUAAUGGUUGGUAUUAUUUAGUGUCAAAUGAUAGCAUAUUAGUUUAGAGAUCAUAGUGCUGUUAGAGAUCAUAGUGCAGUUUUAAUGUCCUUAAAAUCCAAUACAAGAUCAUCUUUGGAAUAAGAAUCUAAUUUGAUUAUCUGUGGACUGUGACAGAUGACUGUUAAAAUACCUAAGAUUGCUAGAAAGGAGUGAAGUUAGUCAUAACAAACAAUUUGGUAAAUUUUUUAUAACAAAUAAAAAAAAACUGUGCUGUACCAAUUCAAUGUUAGUUCUUGAAAAUCUGGUAAUAAAUAUUUCUGGUAUCAGUGGAGAGGAAUUUUGUUCUGAAAGCAGAGGAUGAAUUUGUUGAUUGCUGUUAUGAUUGUGAUGGAUCAAACACUAUAAAUUAUGCUUUAUAUAUAGGACAUAGAAACUUAACAGCUAAAAUCAAGAGCGGUCCUUAAACGUCAUUUGAUCUGAUUUAUAGGCUUUAAUGUGUUCACAUGGUUACAUGACAUGAUAUCAGAAAAGCUGGAUUUGGCGUUCUAGUAAAUUUUGGCUUGAUACCGCAAGACAUGGUGAGCGAGUAGUGAUGGCUAAAUAUCAUUUUACAUGUGCUGCAUUUUCUUGAGUAGAAAUGGUACUCUUUAUGUUACUAAAAUAUCUGGGUGCUUCUGCACAGGAAUAUGAUGCUGGUGACAAUGCUAAGAGAAGUAGGAGCAGGAAAAGAAAGAGAUCACAUAAAGGCAAAAAUCCAGCGGAGAUGGACAGCAAGUAGAGUACUCAUACAAUUUGGUCGAGCUUUGCGAUGAAAUGGAUAUGCAUUAAAUUGGUUAAUUUGAUGCAAUAUAAAGCCUAAUCGUCACAUGUGAUGUGAAAGAUGAAAUUUUAUUUUCAUAUUAAAUUAGAAUAGGAUAAUAUUUUUUAAAAAAAAAGGUAAUGGGUGUGCACUUUUUCGG